Molecule: non-coding RNA, 514 nt
Organism: Parasteatoda tepidariorum (common house spider)
Lineage: Eukaryota; Metazoa; Arthropoda; Arachnida; Araneae; Theridiidae
Source: RefSeq, a predicted model, not a curated record
AGGACUUUGCUGAUGCUUCGAACGUCCUGCUCUAUAUUUGGGUACCAUUGGGGAUUGCCCUCCUACUAUUUGUUGUUCUUCUAAUUUUAUUCGUCACCCCCCCAAAACGGCCGAGGAAGCUUAGACGGGGGGGAACAAUCAGAAAACAGAAACGUCCAAAAAAUACGACACCAUUAAAAAGCGUGAAGAUUAAAUUUUUACAAAGAAGAGAUAAUUUAAGGAAUGCAGUGGAUGAAGACGUGGAUGAUGGUUUUACAGUCGAAAAUACCAUUGGACUUCAAAAAGAAAAAAGAAGAGAAAACAAUUGAAAAUCAGAAAAGGAGAAUGACUUCCACACUAGUGGGAGUUAAGCUUUAAUGGUCAUUUAUGAGUGAAAUGAUAUCAUUAUAUUCCAAAACUUUCAGUUCCUUAAAUUUCUCAGUAAUUCUACGAGUUUGUUUACACAAAUUUUUGCAAUUAUAAUGAAAAAAUUUAAUUAUUCUGUUAUAUGGGUGAUUCUCACGAAACAUGACAA